GAUGAACGCUGGCGGCGUGCUUAACACAUGCGAGUCGAACGGAGAGGCCGGGGCUUUCUCUGCUGGACGAGUGGCGAACGGGUGAGUAACACGUGAGCAAUCUGCCCCUGACUCUGGGAUAAGCGCUGGAAACGGCGUCUAAUACUGGAUACGAGCUGCGGAGGCAUGUUCAGCAGCUGGAAAGCACUGCGGUCAGGGAUGAGCUCGCGGCCUAUCAGCUUGUUGGUGAGGUAGCGGCUCACCAAGGCGUCGACGGGUAGCCGGCCUGAGAGGGUGACCGGCCACAAUGGGACUGCGGCACGGCCCAGACUCCUACGGGAGGCAGCAGUGGGGAAUAUUGCACAAUGGGCGCAAGCCUGAUGCAGCAACGCCGCGUGCGGGACGACGGCCUUCGGGUUGUAAACCUCUUUUAGCAGGGACGAAGCGAAAGUGACGGUACCUGCAGAAAAAGCGCCGGCUAACUACGUG
Molecule: ribosomal RNA, 468 nt
Filed under: uncultured bacterium
Lineage: Bacteria
Description: partial 16S ribosomal RNA
Rfam family: Bacterial small subunit ribosomal RNA
Source: RNAcentral